GGGGAAUUUUGGACAAUGGGCGAAAGCCUGAUCCAGCAAUGCCGCGUGCAGGACGAAGGCCUUCGGGUUGUAAACUGCUUUUGUACGGAACGAAAAGACACUGGCUAAUACCUGGUGUUGAUGACGGUACCGUAAGAAUAAGCACCGGCUAACUACGUGCCAGCAGCCGCGGUAAUACGUAGGGUGCGAGCGUUAAUCGGAAUUACUGGGCGUAAAGCGUGCGCAGGCGGUUUUGUAAGACAGAGGUGAAAUCCCCGGGCUCAACCUGGGAACUGCCUUUGUGACUGCAAGGCUAGAGUGCGGCAGAGGGGGAUGGAAUUCCGCGUGUAGCAGUGAAAUGCGUAGAUAUGCGGAGGAACACCGAUGGCGAAGGCAAUCCCCUGGGCCUGCACUGACGCUCAUGCACGAAAGCGUGGGGAGCAAAC
Molecule: ribosomal RNA, 425 nt
Filed under: uncultured bacterium
Lineage: Bacteria
Description: bacterial SSU rRNA
Rfam family: Bacterial small subunit ribosomal RNA
Source: RNAcentral